CCGAGACCGGCCCCCACCCUUCUGUUUUCAUCUUCUUCCACUCACCCCUGACACUCUCCCCUCCCACAGUCCCAGAUUUUUCUCUUCUCUUUCCUCUAACCUCCCACGCCCAUUGCAGUCUUUUUUUUCUCACAUCAAAACUUCUCUCUCUCUCUCUCUCUCUCUCUCUCCCAUGAAUUUAUGUGAGUGUGGGUGUUACGGUGGGUGGAUCUCCUUGGAUUGGUGUUACCGUUGAGUCUCCUCACCGGAAGUGCUGAACGGUGAUCGCUCCUCCCUUUUGUGAUGUACCAUCACAACAGGUCACCUUGUCACGAGUUGACUCUCCUUCCGCCGCCGUGCAAUCUGCUUUGGUUCGAGUAUUAGUUUCUUGCGAUUACCAUCAAAACCUACCAGCAGACGUGUAGUUAAGCAAAGGUAAAUGCUUUUCCCAUAUACACUGUCCGGCAUACUUCUCUGCCGCCUCUUGAAAUUUGCAGUUUUUAAACCGUGUGAAAUGUUUUAUAUACUAAUCACACCGUAAUGAUUCUGAGUAUUAUUGCUGGAUUUCCACUGGCAUACAACCCUUUCGUGGUCAUUAUACUGGUAAGAUAUGAUCUCAUUCGAUACAUUUAUCUUGCGUAUUUUGUCGAGUUAUUUCAUCGCGUUAUGUCUUCAAAGACCAAACCCAAGAGUAGUAUUGUGUGCUGGUUCACAAGACUGUACAUAUGCUUUUGGACAGUGUUGCUCGGUUAGCUUAUUUUAUUGCCCACUUCACUACACUAGGUAUGACACUUCACUGGUAUUAGACUCGGUUGCUCAUUUAUGUGCAUGAUAUGAGUAAAGUAUUAUUGCUGGAAAUUUAAUGAAUGAUAGUUAUAUGGUUAUUGUGAAUUAUAGGUUGGUUUUAAUGGGGUUAUAUGUGAAAUAUUGAGUUUGAUGUGGUUGUGUGGGUGAUGUUGUGCGGCUGUAUUGGGUAAUUAUUUAUUUUUUUGGUUGUUCCGGGUUUGAGUAUUAACUGUUGAGUUGACGUUGGCUGUUGUGAGUCUAUAAUAUACUACAAUAGUCUAUAAUAUACUAUUGAAGUUGAGUGAUGGAUUGUUGAGCUGAUAUGUGAUUUGCUUGAUUAAAAAUUGGCUGUUGGGUUGAUGAGCAUGGUUGUUUGGAUUGAGAUAUGUGGUUGGCCAGGUUUAUUCUAUAACUGUUAUUGAGUUGAUCAUGUGGGGCUAGUUGUAGUUGACCUAUUGCGAGUUGUGUGAUGCUCGGGACUAAAGUAUUUGCUGGUUUAGGGUUUAUUAAAUAAGCUAGUAGCAUGCUUGUUUGGGUUGAUAAUUGAUUGGUAACUGUUUAUAAUUGAUUUAGGUGGUUAUACUGUUAGAGGUUAGACCCAAGGUGUAACUUAUACACGGCAAGAGUCAUGUAAGGGGCAUAAGUUAUACUAGACUUUGCAUAAAAGAAAAUGACUGAUGUUGAUUUUGAAAAUAUGCAUGUUUUCUUUUUGAAAAGAAACCUGAAAACAACCUUAUAUAUAUAUGUGUGUUCUGCAUACUCAUGAAAUCUGUAUAAAGAGAGUAUUUUUUUUUGUCAUGAUUGGUGUAGAUAUGAGUGAGUUUUUGUUGGCAUUCAGUUUGUGAACUAUAGAAAAAGAGUGAUUAUGAAAAUUUGAGAAUUUGAACUUGGUUUAUGAAGAUGCUUUGGUUUUGUUUAUGAAAAUGCAAGAAUGAUUUGAAUAAGUUUUGUACUCUGUUUGAUAUGAUAUGGCAUUUGAAAACCUUUGGCUUGAUGUUCUAAUUCAAUAUCUAAUUAUGAUCUGGUUUUGAUUAUGUUUUUUCUCUCUUUCAUUGAGGCCCUGCAUGGGUAUAAUAGUGGUAUACGACCCUUCCAUGAGUAUAAAAGUGGUAUAUGGACCUACCACAGUUAUAAUAGUAGUAUAUGGCCUUGCCAUGAGUGUAAUAGUGGUAUACGACCCUAUCAUGGAUAUAAUAGUGGUAUACAGCCCUGCCACAGAUAUAAUGGUGGUUUAUAACCCUACCAUAGAAGUUAAAUAUUGUUUUUGUCCCGAUAUGAUGCUCUAAUAUGAUAUGAAGAUGAUUUCUCAGAUUAUAAUAUGCCAAAAGGAUCUUUGAAUAAAAAUGUUUUCUGAAAGUUUCACUAUGAUAUUUUGAUAACAUGUUUUUAUUCUUCAUUCUGAAAGUAAAUGUUUUCUCCAGCAUUAAGAACUUUGUAAAUGCUCAUGUUUACAUGCUAGUAUAUGUUCUCUUCUUACUAAGUUAUUGAUAACUCACCCCUUUAACUUCACAGUAUUUUAGAUGACUUUGAUAGUUCAGCUGAGGAUCAAAAUAGCAUGUGUGGGCAAGAUUAAUUGAGGAUAGUAAUUGAGUACUCAAGUUAUUAUUUCUAUUGAGGGAUUUAUUUUAUUUAAUAGAUGGAUUUUCAGUAUGUUUAGAUGGCUUAUGGAGAUUUAUGUAAACUUUGGUUCAUUUUAUUAUGUUAUUUGGGAUACGUGGAGCAGUUGAUCAAUUUUAUCCAGUUUAUUGUAUUGAGAAUAUGAUAGAUGAGCACGUGUAGUUAAUUAAAUUAGAGGAAUUUAUGUUUGAUUUGGAGUCUUUGAAAGUAUAUAUUUGGAUUUGGAGAAUA
This is a long non-coding RNA of Carya illinoinensis, 2613 nucleotides long. RefSeq lists it as uncharacterized. Lineage: Eukaryota; Viridiplantae; Streptophyta; Magnoliopsida; Fagales; Juglandaceae. The record is from RefSeq and is a predicted model, not a curated record. The transcript has 3 exons.